GAUGAACGCUAGCGGCAGGCCUAAUACAUGCAAGUCGAGGGAGAAUGUUGGAUUCGUCUGACAUGAAACCGGCGCACGGGCGCGUAACACGUAUGCAACCUACCUUUAACUGGGGUAUAGCUCAGAGAAAUCUGAAUUAAUCCCCCAUAAGACUACGACAUGGCAUCAUGAUGUAGUUAAAGCUCCGGCGGCUACGGAUGGGCAUGCGGUACAUAAGCUAGUUGGUGAGGUAAUGGCUCACCAAGGCUACGAUGUAUAGGGGGUCUGAGAGGAUGAUCCUCCACACUGGUGCUGAGACACGGACCAGACUCCUACGGGAGGCAGCAGUAGGGAAUAUUGGUCAAUGGACGCAAGUCUGAACCAGCCAUGCCGCGUGAAGGAUGAAGGCCCUAUGGGUCGUAAACUUCUUUUAUUAGGGAAGAAAAAACGGGAUGCGUCCUGUACUGACGGUACUUAAUGAAUAAGGAUCGGCUAACUUCGUGCCAGCCGCCGCGGUAA
RNAcentral lists this ribosomal RNA (498 nucleotides) under uncultured bacterium. RNAcentral describes it as "partial 16S ribosomal RNA". It matches the Rfam family "Bacterial small subunit ribosomal RNA", at positions 28 to 523 of the family's 1533-position model. The record is from RNAcentral.